This 499-nucleotide ribosomal RNA is filed under the name uncultured bacterium. RNAcentral describes it as "partial 16S ribosomal RNA". It matches the Rfam family "Bacterial small subunit ribosomal RNA", at positions 30 to 523 of the family's 1533-position model. The record is from RNAcentral.
AUUGAACGCUGGCGGCAUGCCUUACACAUGCAAGUCGAACGGUAACGCGGGGCAACCCUGGCGACGAGUGGCGAACGGGUGAGUAAUACAUCGGAACAUAUCCAGUAGCGGGGGAUAACCUAUCGAAAGAUUGGCUAAUACCGCAUACGAUCUACGGAUGAAAGCGGGGGACCGCAAGGCCUCGCACUAUUGGAGUGGCCGAUGUCAGAUUAGCUAGUUGGUGGGGUAAAAGCCUACCAAGGCGACGAUCUGUAGCUGGUCUGAGAGGACGAUCAGCCACACUGGAACUGAGACACGGUCCAGACUCCUACGGGAGGCAGCAGUGGGGAAUUUUGGACAAUGGGCGCAAGCCUGAUCCAGCCAUGCCGCGUGAGUGAAGAAGGCCUUCGGGUUGUAAAGCUCUUUCGGUGAAGACGAAACGGUUAGUGUUAAUAACACUGACUAAUGACGGUACUCACAGAAGAAGCACCGGCUAACUACGUGCCAGCAGCCGCAGUAA